This 269-nucleotide small nucleolar RNA is filed under the name Leishmania donovani. RNAcentral describes it as "H/ACA box snoRNA LD36Cs2''H1". Lineage: Eukaryota; Euglenozoa; Kinetoplastea; Trypanosomatida; Trypanosomatidae. The record is from RNAcentral.
UUGCUCAUCUGUCUUUUAGAGCCUCUUUGGCUGCCUCUCCGUCAUUCGCUUUCCCUCGCCUCCCUCUCCCCUUCAUCACGCCGCUCUUCUUCUGCCCUCUGUGCCUGUGCAUUCCCCGCCCCCGGAGUGGUGUGUGCCAGGAGGGGGGAGAAAGGGGUCCAAUUUGUGGUGCAGGGAGUGAGGGGGGGGGGGCGAAGGGGGCGGCGUUGGCGGAGUCGCACAUGGAACGUUGCCAAUUCUCGAAGAGGUGUAGCAUGGCAGAAAGAAAA